Molecule: long non-coding RNA, 388 nt
Organism: Triticum urartu
Lineage: Eukaryota; Viridiplantae; Streptophyta; Magnoliopsida; Poales; Poaceae
Source: RefSeq, a predicted model, not a curated record
CCUCGUUCCUCUCGCACCUGAGGAGAGAGCAGACGCAUCACUCGCGCUCGAAGCCUCAUGCCUCCCCGACGCCCUUGCCUCGCGCUGGCAAGUGACCUCGCCGGAGUGCCCUGCCAGAGUAACAGCCACACCAGGGACCCUCGUGCCCUUCUCCUUCCCUGCUCUCCCUCUCUCUCGGCUUCCCUCCCCCAUUUUCUUCUCUCAAUUCUCUCUGUCUGUCUUUCUUCAGGUCUCAUUAGCCGCCAUGGACGUCGUCGCGCGGACCUGCCUCCGUUCCUGCGACCACGCUUCGGUCAGCAGCAGAGCAGGCAUGGCCGUCACCGUAGAACUCGAAGCCGCACGCCGCCGCUGAAGCUCCUCCGCCAUGGACGCCGGGCCUCAAGGCCGU